Molecule: non-coding RNA, 54 nt
Organism: Salmo salar (Atlantic salmon)
Lineage: Eukaryota; Metazoa; Chordata; Actinopteri; Salmoniformes; Salmonidae
Source: Rfam
UACAUUCACUACUGUAAGUCACUCUGGAUAAGAGCGUCUGCUAAAUGACUAAAA